Dalotia coriaria is the source of this 697-nucleotide long non-coding RNA. RefSeq lists it as uncharacterized. NCBI's taxonomy places the organism in Eukaryota, Metazoa, Arthropoda, Insecta, Coleoptera, Staphylinidae. The record is from RefSeq and is a predicted model, not a curated record. The transcript has 2 exons.
ACAGAAAUUAACAUCGUCAACAAGUUAUAUUAAAACAAUAGUUUGGUGUAUGUUGGGUUGCCUAUAGUAAGGAAACCAUAGCACACAUACGCGUAGAAAAGUCAAAUCGAACUCUAUUCGCGAUACAUUCGCGCAUGUGUGUUGUGUGUUGAAGAAGCGUUCGAUCCGGCUGCAUCAUCACUGCGCCGCGGAUGCCGAGGCCGAAACCGAACCACCGACGGACCCGACCGCCUUAGCUCAUUUGCGGUAUAGUUUACGAUCGCUCGUCGGCGACUUCAAACGGCAGCGUUGUUUACAUAAUAUAGGUCCUCAGCAGCCGGAAACAAUAUGAGAUGGACACGCUGGUGCAGUGGAAUUAAAACGCCGGUGUGUGUGUGUGUUUUUGACCGCGGGCCGGUCCGGCCUCUCAAUCACUUUCCGAAUUCUUCAGUGACACGGCGACAGAUCAAUCUCCCGAGACUUAUCACUCAUUGUCGGCGCUCGCCGACGUGACUAAAUAGUCGCUGCGCCCGCGUCGAUGACAACCGACGAUGACUGAGGAGGGCAAAUCGAAGAGAAGGGCGCGAAUGAUGGAAGAGUCGCUUUUUGAAAACCAAAAAAAAAAAAAGUUAAAAAUUUUAAAAAGAUUUUAUGCACGAUUUAUCAGUGUUAGAUUAGUCAUGGUCAUGGGUAAGAUUAGAAAAUCUCAACUUUGGUA